GGGGAUUUGGCUCAGUGGUAGAGCAUUUGCCUGGCAAGCCCAAGGUCCUGGGUUCGGUCCCCAGCUCUG
This 69-nucleotide transfer RNA is filed under the name Rattus norvegicus (Norway rat). It matches the Rfam family "tRNA". Rfam says of the family: Transfer RNA (tRNA) molecules are approximately 80 nucleotides in length. Their secondary structure includes four short double-helical elements and three loops (D, anti-codon, and T loops). The record is from Rfam by way of RNAcentral. Lineage: Eukaryota; Metazoa; Chordata; Mammalia; Rodentia; Muridae.